This 494-nucleotide ribosomal RNA is filed under the name uncultured bacterium. RNAcentral describes it as "partial 16S ribosomal RNA". It matches the Rfam family "Bacterial small subunit ribosomal RNA", at positions 28 to 507 of the family's 1533-position model. The record is from RNAcentral.
GACGAACGCUGGCGGCGUGCUUAACACAUGCAAGUCGAACGGAAAGGCCUGCUUUCCCUUGUGGAUUGCGGGUACUCGAGUGGCGAACGGGUGAGUAACACGUGAGUGAUCUGCCCCCAACUUGGGUAUAAGCCUGGGAAACUGGGUCUAAUUCCCGAUAGGACUGCAGGGUGGUGCCUGUGGUGGAAAACGAUUUUCUAGUGGUUGGGGAUGAGCUCGCGGCCUAUCAGCUUGUUGGUGGGGUAAUGGCCUACCAAGGCGGCGACGGGUAGCCGGCCUGGGAGCGUGGACGGCCACAUUGGGACUGGGAUACGGCCCAGACGCGUACGGGAGGCAGCAGUGGGGACGAUUGGACAAUGGGCGGGAGGCUGAUGCAGCGACGCCGCGUGGGGGAUGACGGCCUUCGGGUGGUAAACUACUUUCGACCGAGAGGAAGGCACCUGGUUGGGAGGGUGGUGACGGUAGUGGUAGAAGAAGCACCGGCUAACUACGUG